This 864-nucleotide ribosomal RNA is filed under the name uncultured bacterium. RNAcentral describes it as "bacterial SSU rRNA". It matches the Rfam family "Bacterial small subunit ribosomal RNA", at positions 62 to 895 of the family's 1533-position model. The record is from RNAcentral.
CCAAUUGAUUGAUGGUGCUUGCACCUGAUUGAUUUUGGUUGCCAACGAGUGGCGGACGGGUGAGUAACACGUAGGUAACCUGCCCAGAAGCGGGGGACAACAUUUGGAAACAGAUGCUAAUACCGCAUAACAGCGUUGUUCGCAUGAACAACGCUUAAAAGAUGGCUUCUCGCUAUCACUUCUGGAUGGACCUGCGGUGCAUUAGCUUGUUGGUGGGGUAACGGCCUACCAAGGCGAUGAUGCAUAGCCGAGUUGAGAGACUGAUCGGCCACAAUGGGACUGAGACACGGCCCAUACUCCUACGGGAGGCAGCAGUAGGGAAUCUUCCACAAUGGGCGCAAGCCUGAUGGAGCAACACCGCGUGAGUGAAGAAGGGUUUCGGCUCGUAAAGCUCUGUUGUUAAAGAAGAACACGUAUGAGAGUAACUGUUCAUACGUUGACGGUAUUUAACCAGAAAGUCACGGCUAACUACGUGCCAGCAGCCGCGGUAAUACGUAGGUGGCAAGCGUUAUCCGGAUUUAUUGGGCGUAAAGAGAGUGCAGGCGGUUUUCUAAGUCUGAUGUGAAAGCCUUCGGCUUAACCGGAGAAGUGCAUCGGAAACUGGAUAACUUGAGUGCAGAAGAGGGUAGUGGAACUCCAUGUGUAGCGGUGGAAUGCGUAGAUAUAUGGAAGAACACCAGUGGCGAAGGCGGCUACCUGGUCUGCAACUGACGCUGAGACUCGAAAGCAUGGGUAGCGAACAGGAUUAGAUACCCUGGUAGUCCAUGCCGUAAACGAUGAGUGCUAGGUGUUGGAGGGUUUCCGCCCUUCAGUGCCGGAGCUAACGCAUUAAGCACUCCGCCUGGGGAGUACGACCGCAAGGUU